AUGGCCAUGGAGAGGUUCUUCACGGCGCUCGUCUUCUGCGAGGCGCCGCUGGACGGCUACGGCACAUCGGUGCUCACCGCCGGCGCGAUGGACAGGCCGGUCUCUGCCGGCGGCAGCGCGACGAAGCCGGCGGUGGCUAACAAGACGGACUCUCAGAAGGAGCAGGGACUCUUCAACGGCAAGCCGACGGCGCAGCGGCGCCCUGCGUUCGAGCUCGCGUUCGACGGUGUCAACUGCUUCGACACCGUCGUCAUGCACUGA
This 261-nucleotide ribosomal RNA is filed under the name Triticum aestivum (bread wheat). RNAcentral describes it as "partial small subunit ribosomal RNA". Lineage: Eukaryota; Viridiplantae; Streptophyta; Magnoliopsida; Poales; Poaceae. The record is from RNAcentral.